RNAcentral lists this microRNA precursor (65 nucleotides) under Alligator mississippiensis (American alligator). Its description in RNAcentral is "Ami-Mir-7-P3_pre stem-loop". Lineage: Eukaryota; Metazoa; Chordata; Crocodylia; Alligatoridae. The record is from RNAcentral.
UGGAAGACUUGUGAUUUUGUUGUUUCUGGUGUCAAGGAAGCGAACAACAAAUCCCAGUCUCCUCA